AACCAGACUCCUACGGGAGGCAGCAGUGGGGAAUAUUGGACAAUGGGGGGAACCCUGAUCCAGCGACGCCGCGUGAGUGAAGAAGUAUUUCGGUAUGUAAAGCUCUAUCAGCAGGGAAGAAAGAAAUGACGGUACCUGACUAAGAAGCCCCGGCUAACUACGUGCCAGCAGCCGCGGUAAUACGUAGGGGGCAAGCGUUAUCCGGAUUUACUGGGUGUAAAGGGAGCGUAGACGGCAGCGCAAGUCUGAAGUGAAAUGCCGGGGCUUAACCCCGGAACUGCUUUGGAAACUGAGCAGCUAGAGUGCAGGAGAGGUAAGUGGAAUUCCUAGUGUAGCGGUGAAAUGCGUAGAUAUUAGGGGGAACACCAGUGGCGAAGGCGGCUUACUGGACGAUGACUGACGCUGAGGCUCGAAAGCGUGGGGAGCAAACAGGAUUAGAUACCCUCGUAAUG
This 452-nucleotide ribosomal RNA is filed under the name uncultured bacterium. Its description in RNAcentral is "partial 16S ribosomal RNA". It matches the Rfam family "Bacterial small subunit ribosomal RNA", at positions 329 to 795 of the family's 1533-position model. The record is from RNAcentral.